Molecule: transfer RNA, 61 nt
Filed under: Metacarcinus magister (Dungeness crab)
Lineage: Eukaryota; Metazoa; Arthropoda; Malacostraca; Decapoda; Cancridae
Description: tRNA-Leu
Source: RNAcentral
UAAUGGCCGUGGAGGCUCCUCCUUUCUCGUCCUAGGAGAACCGGAGCUCCGCGGCCAUUAU